GGGAGAACGAGUGAAAGGGAGAAGGAGAGAGGAGGAGAAGGGGACAAGGAGAGAAGGGGAAAAGGAGAGAAGGGGAGAAGGGUGAAAGAAAGAGGAGGAGAAGGGGAGAAGGAGAGAAGGGGAGAAGGGGAGAAAGAAAGAGGAGGAGAAGGGGAGAAGGAGAGAGGAGGAGAAGGAGAGAGGACAUUCAUACAGAUUCUCCUGAUUGCCACUCGGUCACUCCUCAGCAACGGCCAGGCUCUCUGACAAUUACAGCUCCUCUCUCCAAUACCGCUGGUUUCCAAAGCACAAAGGAACAAUGUGCGUGUGCGUGCGUGUGCGUGCGUGUGUAUGUGUGUGUGUGUGUCUGUGUGUGUGUGUGUCCAUCACCAGACACCCGAGCACACCAACUCCAUUGGCACCCAUAACUACACUUGCUUCUCAACACCAAGUGGCCAUGACUGGCAGGUAAUGACUAGCAGGUAAUGACUGGCAGGUAAUGACUGGCAGGUAAUGACUGGCAGGUAAUGACUGGCAGGUAAUGACUGGCAGGUAAUGACUGGCAGGUAAUGACUGACAGGUAAUGACUAGCAGGUAAUGACUGACAGGUAAUGACUGACCGGUAAAGACUGGCAGGUAAUGACUAACAGGUAAAGACUAACAGGUAAUGACUAGCAGGUAAUGACUGACAGGUAAUGACUAGCAGGUAAUGACUGACAGGUAAUGACUAGCAGGUAAUGACUGGCAGGUAAUGACUAGCAGGUAAUGACUGACAGGUAGUGACUAACAGGUAAAGACUGGCAGGUAAUGACUAGCAGGUAAUGACUAGCAGGUAAUGACUAGCAGGUAAUGACUGACAGGUAAAGACUGGCAGGUAAUGACUGACAGGUAAAGACUGGCAGGUAAUGACUAGCAGCGGUUAGCAGCCAUAA
Molecule: long non-coding RNA, 911 nt
Filed under: Salmo salar (Atlantic salmon)
Lineage: Eukaryota; Metazoa; Chordata; Actinopteri; Salmoniformes; Salmonidae
Description: lncRNA (ENSSSAG00000110473.1)
Source: RNAcentral